Molecule: non-coding RNA, 1073 nt
Filed under: Trichomonas vaginalis G3
Lineage: Eukaryota; Parabasalia; Trichomonadida; Trichomonadidae
Description: Eukaryotic large subunit ribosomal RNA
Rfam family: Eukaryotic large subunit ribosomal RNA
Source: Rfam by way of RNAcentral
AUAGAUUACAAGUAGUGUGAACGAAAGAUGAAAAGAACUCUAAAACAGAGGGUGAAAAGUUCCUGAACUUGCUUAGGGUUAAGGCUAUUUAUAGUACCCGUCUUGAAACACGGAUUAGGGAGUUUAUCUGUAGUGCGAGUCUUUGCACGUUAACUGUAAAGGCGUAGAGAAAGCAACUGGCGUUUGCAUGGCUACUGAGCAUUACUGAUAGGACCCGAAAGGUGGUGAACUUUGCCUGCACAGGUUGAAGUCAGGGGAAACUCUGAUGGAGGACCGUACGGGUUAUUGAUGUGCAAAUCAUUUUUCUGAUGUAGGUAAAGGUGCGAAAGACUCAUCGAACCACCUAAUAGCUGGUUUCCUCCGAAGUUUCCCUCAGGAUAGCUGUAAUGCAUUUAGUUAAGGGGAGUAGAGAUAUGGGUAGAGGUGCAGGGAGCCUUCGGGUUCUCAACUUAUUUCCAAACUUCGAACCUCCUUGUUAGGCAUUUACCUAACUGGAAAUGCUUAAAUGAAUUAGCGUUACAAGUGGGCUCUGACCGGUAAGCGGUCAUGGCGAAAUGGGAUGAACCAUACGUCUGAAUAAGGUGCCGAAAUGUACUAUCACUGAUACCAUAAAGGGAGUCCAUGUAUUUAGACAGCAGGUCGGUGCCCCUAAAAGCAGGUAUCCGCUAAAGAGUGUGUUAAAACUCACCUGCCGAAUACUAGGGCCCCGAAAAUGAAUGGCGCAUAUAGUACUACCGAUCUCAGACAUCAGUUCUAUUGAACUGAGAGUAGGGGGAUGUGGACAUUUUUGUGAAGGUGCAAUGUGAGUUGGACUGGAAGAAUGUCUAUUACAGAUCCUAAUUGAAGUAGCGAUUAUCCAGGCUUGUAUCCUGGGGGCUGAUGAGGAGUAAGGUUUCUGGACAACUUAAACAGAUCCAGAGUUAGUCGAUCCUAAUCUCAAUAAUGGGAGAAAGGGAGUACAGUUGAUAUUCUGUAACUGACAACAGUUCGCGGCAACGCAUACUAUUUUUCUCCGCCAAUCUUAUACCGUUGGUAGGGAUCUCUUUCCUACAUGACAGUACUAAUACCCAAGG